This is a long non-coding RNA of Lepidothrix coronata (blue-crowned manakin), 507 nucleotides long. RefSeq lists it as uncharacterized. The record is from RefSeq and is a predicted model, not a curated record. The transcript has 3 exons. Lineage: Eukaryota; Metazoa; Chordata; Aves; Passeriformes; Pipridae.
GUGUUUAUUUGUAGAUGCCUUACUCCGUGAGGAAUGGUAUUCCAUGUAAACAGUGUCAUCUGCUCCAGACAUCGAGCUCAUUGUGCCUGUUCGACGGGACACCUGCAGCUUUCCUUUUUCCUUUGGAAGUUUUCCCAUCACUAAGCUUUACUGACCCAGAAGAUGCUUCAUAUAUUCAUUCACUGGAUACUAUGAUCCAAGGCCCAGAGCCCAACCACCAUCUCCUUUACCUUUUUUGGCUCUCAGCACUCGUCCCAGCCUUUGAGCCUCCUGCCUUCGUGACCCACCAUGGGAUGAAAUCUGGAUGAGAACAUUGGCUUCUGGCAGAUCGAAGGACGUGUCACCCACCUACAACAGAGCAACAGCCUCUAAGAAAGAUCUUAAUUCCACAUAUCACCAACAAACAAUAAAUACAAAGCACACCUUUCUUUGUGAGCUGCAAUAUGAAGAUGUCAAAUGCACACCAUGCAUGUGUAACUUAAAUAAAGCUGACUCUGAAAACAGGUA